This 639-nucleotide long non-coding RNA is filed under the name Podarcis lilfordi (Lilford's wall lizard). Lineage: Eukaryota; Metazoa; Chordata; Lepidosauria; Squamata; Lacertidae. The record is from RNAcentral.
CGUCAGAAGCCCCUCGGAGCUGGACCUUGGCGGUAGAGACGUUCCUUCAGGUAUACAGGACGGAGGCUGUUUAGAAACACGCUAUUUCAUCCAGCUCUCUUAAGUGGAUGAGAGCUGCAUGAUAACAGACUUUUGUCCCUUUUGUCCCGUGGGCUUAGCAUAAGUAGUUCCCUGAUGGGUUUCUCUCAAGCAGUGAUGAGGAACAAAAUACAAACAAUUAGGGUAAUGACAGGGAAAGCACACUAAUUGGCUAGACCAAAGGCGCUUGUUUCAACACCCACUCUCUCAUCUCCCUCCUGUUACCUGCAGGAAGCUUUUAAAGUGAUGGAUCUGAAAGGAAAGGAAUGAAAGCAGUGCUCCUCCAGGUCUGAAGACAUAAACCAGCUUCACUUUUUCCUCUUGGCAGUGCGCAUUGUGAUGUGCGAAGUGUUAUAAAUACGGCUUUAUUGAUACAUGCCGGUGGACAAGGAGGCAGCAACCCACUGAGCAAGAUCUGAAUGCAAAAAGAGACACCUGCAGCUCUGCCUCUCUUUCAAAUCAGAACCAGUGAAGGCGGUGAAGGUCCUCUGUGAGUGCCUGGAGGCGGAUGGAGGAUGGAUGGCGGCUAACAGAUUGAGGUUGAAUCCUAGCAAGAUAGAA